RNAcentral lists this ribosomal RNA (468 nucleotides) under uncultured bacterium. Its description in RNAcentral is "partial 16S ribosomal RNA". It matches the Rfam family "Bacterial small subunit ribosomal RNA", at positions 28 to 523 of the family's 1533-position model. The record is from RNAcentral.
GAUGAACGCUGGCGGCGUGCCUAACACAUGCAAGUCGAGCGAUUCUCUUCGGCGAAGAGCGGCGGACGGGUGAGUAACGCGGGGGUAACCUGCCCUGUACACACGGAUAACAUACCGAACGGGAUGCUAAUAUGGGAUAACAUAAGAAAUGCGCAUGUUUUUCUUAUCAAAGCUCCGGCGGUACAGGAGGGACCCGCGUCUGAUUAGCUAGUUGGUGAGGUAACGGCUCACCAAGGCGACGAUCAGUAGCCGACCUGAGAGGGUGAUCGGCCACAUUGGAACUGAGACACGGUCCAAACUCCUACGGGAGGCAGCAGUGGGGAAUAUUGCACAAUGGGCGAAAGCCUGAUGCAGCAACGCCGCGUGAGCGAUGAAGGCCUUCGGGUCGUAAAGCUCUGUCCUCAAGGAAGAUAAUGACGGUACUUGAGGGGGAAGCCCCGGCUAACUACGUGCCAGCAGCCGCCGUAA